Molecule: long non-coding RNA, 400 nt
Organism: Prionailurus viverrinus (fishing cat)
Lineage: Eukaryota; Metazoa; Chordata; Mammalia; Carnivora; Felidae
Exons: 3
Source: RefSeq, a predicted model, not a curated record
CCUGCACAGUUAACUUAAUUGCAGCUUCAGGGGUCAGUUCAUUCAUUCCACCUUCCCGGGGCUCUGGAGCCGGUAUGCUGUGUGUAACUUCCAGGUGAUCUUUAGCCCCUUUGCCACCAGCUGCACCACCUGAGCCAUGAAUGCUGGCCCAUUACCUGAUCCCACAGUGACAGGGAUCCCAAAUCGAGUUCUUGAUAAGCAGUCAACUGAGAAGACAACUCCUAAAAUGAGCAUAGUACAUCACAGAUAACUAUCAUGACUGAGCCUACUAAAAGAUCCCCUAAGAGCUGUCAGGUGCAUCCUUGGAAACAUCAUUGCUUUUGUUUUCAUCAGUUCACAUAUUCCUGACACUUCCCCAAUGCUUGUCAAGAUAAUUAAUAUUUGAAGUGGAAGAAAUAGG